AUCUCUCUCUCUCUCUCUCUCUCUCUCUCUCUCUCUCUUUCUCUCUCCCUCAAUCUCGCUUUCUCUCUUUCUCUCAAUCUCGUGUUCUCUCUCCUUUGAUCUUCUCAAAUUAGCACCUCUACUAUACAUGUAUAUGUACCUCUAUAUAUUAUGUAUAUGUUGUAAAUAGCAAUGUUUGAAAUUGAAUUUAUUCUGUUGAGGUCCGAGCAAGAAUCGAAGUAGACGUCCUCAACUUCCUCAAGAUCUUGAACUCUUCGACUCCGACAAUCUCAUAUUUCUUUGGUUUGCAAUUUUGCUUCAAAUCUCUACUCUCGAAAUGUGUAUAUAUAUAUAUAUAUAUGUGCGUGUGUGUUUUUGUGUUAAGCAUUGAGUCACUGUUGAUUUUAAUUUGACAAAUUUGGGGUUUUUUGAGUGUGUUAUAGAUCAAUAGAAGAUGAAAUAAUAGCUGAGGGUUUGUUGACUGAUGUUUCGUGGAUUUUUCUUUCUCACUCAUUUUGCACGGGUCUUUGAUGAGAGUUAACUAACACUGCUGAAUCUUUCAUUAGAGGUAAUAAUAGGAUCAUCAUCAUCUCUUUCUCAUUUGCCUUCUUAAUCAAUCUCUUGAAAAGUACACAUUGCCUCAGCAUAUGUAUCCUUCAAUUUAGGCUAUUAGGUUUUUUGGCCAUUCCAUUAAUGUUUCUUUUCUUCAAUUUAGUAUAAAUUAGGCUUGUGUGUUGUUGGUUGUGAUGAAUUGUUUAUUGUUUAUGUUGAAUUAGUGCUUUGCUUUGUGUUUUGGAUACUUAAUUAGGCUCUUUUUUUUUUCUUUAUUUAUUUAUUUAUUUUGUGUUUUGAAUGUCCAAUAAGGAUGUCAAUUUUAGGAUUCUGUUUUCAGUGUGAUUUGAUUAGCAAAAGAGAAUGGGAUCUCUUAUAAGCCAGAUCAAAUUGUAUGAGUAUGCUGUUUGAUUACCAUGUUUUGUGUUGUUAAAUGAAUAUUUAACUUUUUAUGAAGUCAAUUGAUAAGUGAUAAUGGCUUCAAAGUCCUUUUAAAGAAAAAAAAUAUGCAGUAACGUUGUUGACAUCAAAAAAUCAAUACUAAGUCCUUAUCUCUUUUUGCGUUAGUUAUAAAUGAAUCAAUUAGAAACAUUCAAAGAGGAUAUCGUAUUAUUUGUAGACAACAUAGUUUUAGUUGAUGACAUAAGAGGAGUAAACUUUAAUCUAGAAUCGUGGAGAGAGAAUUUAUAAUCUAAAGAAUUUAAGUUAAGCUGGAUUAAGAUAAUAGUUUGCACACUGCUUCAGGAUUGAAGUCCUAUUCCUCCACUUGAUAAAUCUUAUUUUGUUUGAGCACUCUAUUUCAGGGGAAAGUGAACCCUACUCAGUGUGAGGCCUUUACUAUGGUUUGCACUCAGGCUUUUUUAAUUUAUUGAUAUCAGGUAGAGCAUUGGAAGAAAUUAGAGGUGCUCUGUACAGUGAAAUUCGAACUUCAGAAGGUGCUAAGCGCCAACAACAACGUCUUUGUGGGCCGGUUGUGGCGAUGACCUUCAAUUUUAUGGUUGCUGUUGGAAUCAUUAUGGCAAACAAAUUAGUCCGUAAUCCUUCUUUUUCCUCUUAUUUGUGGUGAUUUUUUCUUUUUUCUUUUUUUUUUUGUUCUUUUUUAGAUUCAAGGUAAAUGCAUUGUUAGACUUGAGUAAUUAUACAACCAUAAAAUCAUUAGCACGUUUGGUAUUGUUUUCAUUUUUUUGUUUUGUUCUCGAAAACAGGAAAACAGAAAAACGUAAAUGGAUACAAAAAAACUUAUUUGGCAAAUUGUUUCUGAAACUGUCUUUUGGAUUGUUUUCUAAAUUUUUGAAACUUGUUUUCACAUAAAAAUAUAUAUGAUGGGCGUUUUUAACUUUUCAUUGUUUUUGUUUAAAAAAAACACGAAAACUGAAAGCAAUAACAUACAGGGCUGCAGCAUUGUUCAAUCAAACUAACACCAAACUUCAUGUCUAAUUUCAGGUAAUGGGGAAAGUUGGUUUCAAUUUCCCAAUAUUUCUCACGUUAAUCCACUACACUUCCGCUUGGGUUCUACUCGCGAUUUUCAAAGCAUUUUCAUUGCUUCCAGCCUCUCCUCCUUCCAAAAAAUUUCUGAUUAAAUUUUCAAAGCAAAAAAUUUAAUAUAAUGAAUGUGUUUUCUGAUUAAAUUUUUUAUUUGCAGGAAGCAUUUUGUUUUAAUUACUGUAAUAUAUUUUUGCACGUGGAGGGCUAUAUAUAUAUAUAUAUAUAAAGUCAUUUUCUCAAUUUUUGUCUCUCUAUCUUCUCACUCUUUUAGGACAAAAAAAAAUAUCUGUAUAUACAAAUAUGGCACACCCAGAUGUUAAUGUUUGUUUUUUUUAGGAUGGAUUAUGUAUUAACUUUCUGGCUGUCUAUUUUGAUUUUCAUAAUAUUCAAUCUUAUGUUUUUACAAUUAAUGGCUGAUAAAUGUUAAUGAACUUCUUUUGUAAUAUGGAAUGGUGACUUUUCAAAUGUUUGAUCUUCAUUCAAUGGAAAUUUGCUAUUUCUGCAAGUCUAUUGGCAGCUCUCAUCUUUGUCUCUCUCCCACUCAUUUCCAUUAUGGUUUGAUGAUAGAGGUAUGUUCUUUUCCUAUGUUACUUGGGUUAUGUGUGAAAUAAAUUCUGAACGUACAUAAAUUUGGUUAAUUUAUAUGAUAAAUCAAUAAAUGGUGGUUUGAUUCACUAGUAAUUGACAAGGUUUUGAAUUAGCAUUGCAAGUUAUACGAUCUACUAGUGGAUUUUUCAGUUGUAUGGACCCCUUUUGAUUGCUUGGACAUUCAUUAUGAGCUCCUGUGCUUGGAGGGAUGCCAUAGCCUCCAGGUUUGCAGUCCUCUGUUGGUUCUCUUGUGAUAUACUUAUCAGGAUAAUGAUGCUAAAAUGUCACAGUAAUUAAUAAUCAUGGCAUGUGCUCUGAUUAGUUUUCUAGGAGAAUGACUUCCAAGCCAGACCUUGAUUGUACUGUUGUGACUUGAAGCUUGUUUUUAUAUCAAAUAUAUCCUUGUUUGUGAUAGCACCUUUGGAAGUUUAGUGCUUGAGAGAAUUGUUUCCCUGAUUUUUCUCUAUUUUAUAUGUUUUUUUUCUCAUUUUUUUUGGUUUUGGUUCUACUUUCUACUACCAUAUGUCAUUUGCCUGUCCAUGGUUAGAAACAUCCUUCACCCUUAUUAGUUUACCUUCGUCUGACUGUUUUUGGAACCUGCAUGUCAUUCAUAAAAUUUUAUAAGUAACUCUUUUUU
Molecule: non-coding RNA, 3241 nt
Organism: Camellia sinensis
Lineage: Eukaryota; Viridiplantae; Streptophyta; Magnoliopsida; Ericales; Theaceae
Source: RefSeq, a predicted model, not a curated record